AUGUUGGCCUGGUGGAAAAGAUUUCUCACUCCUUUAGCAGUUCAGGAAAUGAAGGCAAAUGCUGUAUCGAAUGUGAAAGCAAAAAGUAGGAGUGAGCUAUCCAGAGGCAGAGGAACGGAGUCUUACCUGUUCGUGGUCCACCCACGUUUCCUGGCAUGCUUGGCAAUGCUUACAGUCAACGGUGGCUGGAAAGCCAAAGCCCCUUUGAGGAGGAAAUACUAUGAAGAUGAGAGACAGUAUCCAAGAAAGAUAGAAAAGUAG
RNAcentral lists this long non-coding RNA (261 nucleotides) under Anser cygnoides (Swan goose). Its description in RNAcentral is "lncRNA (ENSACDG00005014641.1)". The record is from RNAcentral. Lineage: Eukaryota; Metazoa; Chordata; Aves; Anseriformes; Anatidae.